GUGAAUACAAUCAACCGCUAUAGCUACUGUCCUUAUGCUGCAACAACAUCUCUUUGAUAGCAGGGUUGAGGGUGGUAGACACAAUGCAGUGGGACUCUGGCUCGUUCAAAAGACAUCCUGGAGCAACACUGAUAGUACCACAUCAGGGGAAGGAUGUGCGAGGUCUGUACCCUGGUCAGCUGGGUAGAAUCCACGUCGUUCACUCUCAGGAUCACAGUUUUAUAGUGCCUUAUUGCAAACAGGUGUCACGACACCUACGGAAGGUGGCGCCCCUCUUCGCCCGGACGGCGCUCGGCGGUCGUCGUCGCCGGCCUACUAGCUGCCACUGAUCUAUGUUUCACGUUCUGUUAGUUAGGCCUAGGUUAGUUACGCACCUGUUUUGUAUUAGUUGUUAGUGGG
Molecule: long non-coding RNA, 399 nt
Filed under: Salmo salar (Atlantic salmon)
Lineage: Eukaryota; Metazoa; Chordata; Actinopteri; Salmoniformes; Salmonidae
Description: lncRNA (ENSSSAG00000087251.1, ENSSSAG00020077487.1)
Source: RNAcentral